UACGAAGGGGGCUAGCGUUGUUCGGAAUUACUGGGCGUAAAGGGCGCGUAGGCUGUGCUGUAAGUCAGGCGUGAAAUCCCCGGGCUCAACCUGGGAAUUGCGCAUGAUACUGCGGCGCUUGAAGACGGGAGAGGAUGGCGGAAUUCCCAGUGUAGAGGUGAAAUUCGUAGAUAUUGGGAAGAACACCGGUGGCGAAGGCGCACUCUGGCCCGUAAUUGACGCUGAGGCGCGAAAGCGUGGGGAGC
Molecule: ribosomal RNA, 245 nt
Filed under: uncultured Rhodocista sp.
Lineage: Bacteria; Pseudomonadati; Pseudomonadota; Alphaproteobacteria; Rhodospirillales; Azospirillaceae
Description: partial 16S ribosomal RNA
Rfam family: Bacterial small subunit ribosomal RNA
Source: RNAcentral